Non-coding RNA from Taphrina deformans PYCC 5710, 73 nucleotides. The record is from Rfam. NCBI's taxonomy places the organism in Eukaryota, Fungi, Ascomycota, Taphrinomycetes, Taphrinales, Taphrinaceae.
GCCAGGUUAACUCAACUGGUAGAGUGUGCAUCUUGUAAGUGCAAUGUUAAGAGUUCAAGUCCCUUACCUGGCU